Molecule: ribosomal RNA, 1491 nt
Filed under: metagenome
Description: bacterial SSU rRNA
Rfam family: Bacterial small subunit ribosomal RNA
Source: RNAcentral
AGAGUUUGAUCCUGGCUCAGAUUGAACGCUGGCGGCAUGCCUUACACAUGCAAGUCGAACGGCAGCACGAGAGCUUGCUCUUGGUGGCGAGUGGCGAACGGGUGAGUAAUAUAUCGGAACGUACCCUAGAGUGGGGGAUUACGCAGCGAAAGUUGCGCUAAUACCGCAUACGAUCUACGGAUGAAAGUGGGGGAUCGCAAGACCUCAUGCUCAUGGAGCGGCCGAUAUCUGAUUAGCUAGUUGGUAGGGUAAAAGCCUACCAAGGCUUCGAUCAGUAGCUGGUCUGAGAGGACGACCAGCCACACUGGAACUGAGACACGGUCCAGACUCCUACGGGAGGCAGCAGUGGGGAAUUUUGGACAAUGGGCGCAAGCCUGAUCCAGCAAUGCCGCGUGAGUGAAGAAGGCCUUCGGGUUGUAAAGCUCUUUUGUCAGGGAAGAAACGGUGGACUCUAAUACAGAUCACUAAUGACGGUACCUGAAGAAUAAGCACCGGCUAACUACGUGCCAGCAGCCGCGGUAAUACGUAGGGUGCAAGCGUUAAUCGGAAUUACUGGGCGUAAAGCGUGCGCAGGCGGUUGUGCAAGACAGAUGUGAAAUCCCCGGGCUCAACCUGGGAAUUGCAUUUGUGACUGCACGGCUAGAGUGUGUCAGAGGGGGGUAGAAUUCCACGUGUAGCAGUGAAAUGCGUAGAGAUGUGGAGGAAUACCGAUGGCGAAGGCAGCCCCCUGGGAUAACACUGACGCUCAUGCACGAAAGCGUGGGGAGCAAACAGGAUUAGAUACCCUGGUAGUCCACGCCCUAAACGAUGUCUACUAGUUGUUGGGUCUUAAUUGACUUAGUAACGCAGCUAACGCGUGAAGUAGACCGCCUGGGGAGUACGGUCGCAAGAUUAAAACUCAAAGGAAUUGACGGGGACCCGCACAAGCGGUGGAUGAUGUGGAUUAAUUCGAUGCAACGCGAAAAACCUUACCUACCCUUGACAUGUACGGAAUCCCUGAGAGAUUAGGGAGUGCUCGAAAGAGAACCGUAACACAGGUGCUGCAUGGCUGUCGUCAGCUCGUGUCGUGAGAUGUUGGGUUAAGUCCCGCAACGAGCGCAACCCUUGUCAUUAGUUGCUACGAAAGGGCACUCUAAUGAGACUGCCGGUGACAAACCGGAGGAAGGUGGGGAUGACGUCAAGUCCUCAUGGCCCUUAUGGGUAGGGCGUCACACGUCAUACAAUGGUACAUACAGAGGGCCGCCAACCCGCGAGGGGGAGCUAAUCCCAGAAAGUGUAUCGUAGUCCGGAUUGUAGUCUGCAACUCGACUACAUGAAGUUGGAAUCGCUAGUAAUCGCGGAUCAGCAUGUCGCGGUGAAUACGUUCCCGGGUCUUGUACACACCGCCCGUCACACCAUGGGAGCGGGUUUCACCAGAAGUAGGUAGCCUAACCGUAAGGAGGGCGCUUACCACGGUGGGAUUCGUGACUGGGGUGAAGUCGUAACAAGGUA